RNAcentral lists this long non-coding RNA (348 nucleotides) under Rattus norvegicus (Norway rat). RNAcentral's name for it is "long non-coding RNA NONRATT002035". Lineage: Eukaryota; Metazoa; Chordata; Mammalia; Rodentia; Muridae. The record is from RNAcentral.
AGCGCCAAGACCGAGGCCCUGCAGGAGGAGCUGAAGGCAGCGCGCCUGCAGAUCAACGAGCUGAGCGGCAAGGUCAUGCAGCUGCAGUAUGAGAACCGCGUGCUCAUGUCCAACAUGCAGCGCUACGACCUGGCCUCACAUCUGGGUAUCCGUGGCAGCCCUCGCGACAGCGACGCCGAGAGCGAUGCGGGCAAGAAGGAGAGUGACGAUGACUCCCGGCCUCCCCAUCGCAAGCGCGAAGGGCCAAUCGGAGGCGAGAGCGACUCAGAGGAGGUGCGGAACAUCCGCUCCCUCACGCCUACCCGCUCCUUCUACCCAACACCUGGGCCCUGGCCCAAGAGCUUCUCA